AUUGAACGCUGGCGGCAUGCCUUACACAUGCAAGUCGAACGGCAGCACGGGUACUUGCACCUGGUGGCGAGUGGCGAACGGGUGAGUAAUAUAUCGGAACGUACCUUAUUGUGGGGGAUAACGCAGCGAAAGCUGUGCUAAUACCGCAUAAUCCCUAAGGGGAAAAGCGGGGGACCGUAAGGCCUCGCGCAAUUAGAGCGGCCGAUACCUGAUUAGCUAGUUGGUGAGGUAAAGGCUCACCAAGGCAACGAUCAGUAGCUGGUCUGAGAGGACGAUCAGCCACACUGGGAGUGAGAAACGGGCCAGACUCUUACGGGAGGGAGCAGUGGGAAAUUUUGGACAAUGGGGGCAACCCUGAUCCAGCAAUGCCGCGUGAGUGAAGAAGGCCUUCGGGUUGUAAAGCUCGUUUGUCAGGGAAGAAACAGCAGCUCUAACACAGUUUGCGAAUGACGGUACCUGAAGAAUAAGCAUCGGCUAACUACGUGCCAGCAGCCGCAGUAA
Molecule: ribosomal RNA, 501 nt
Filed under: uncultured bacterium
Lineage: Bacteria
Description: partial 16S ribosomal RNA
Rfam family: Bacterial small subunit ribosomal RNA
Source: RNAcentral